Non-coding RNA from Benincasa hispida (wax gourd), 537 nucleotides. The record is from RefSeq and is a predicted model, not a curated record. NCBI's taxonomy places the organism in Eukaryota, Viridiplantae, Streptophyta, Magnoliopsida, Cucurbitales, Cucurbitaceae.
AAUAUGGAGGUCAAGGAAUAUUAACCAUGAUCAAUAUCUUCAAAGACAAUAAGCCGAAGAAUUGAUGGCCUCCGAAACUGCCUGGAAGUGUCUCUGCCUUGCAGAACUGCACAGGUUUACAAACUAAGUCGAAUAUUAAGAAUAUAAGCCAUUUUGUACACAUUGGAAGAAAUUUGACAGUAGUUUGCCAAAGUUGCUAUCUGUCUCUGCUAGGAUAGUCAUGCCCAGAAGGGCAUUAAAACAGUGGAGAGUCAAACAAGAGGCUGAUUUUCCAGUGCUGAGGUAAUUUGUUGAAUCAAAGCUUAUUAGCUCAGCUGAUUUUCACUUUGUAUUUAUGAGAUAGAAUCACGUGGUAUUUGCAGGUUUCAUUUCCCAUUUUCAGCACCUAGUUUCAAUGUUUUCUGUUACAGUUUUGAAUUUUGAUUGUGGUUCUGUUCUAAACAGCCAUGGUGGAAUUGUAUGUUAAGUUGAUGAUGUGUAAGAUUAUUUCAUUUCUUAAUAUUAAUAUUUAAAGAGAGAGUAGUUAAAAACUUAAAA